UUGGGUCGGAAGGGAGCCAAAACUCAUCUCAUGUUUGGUUUGUCUCUUUUUAACUCUGAAAUUGAAAUCGAAAUGAACAAAUCCGUUUGUCCGUAUUUGGUAUACGAGAUUUUCAUUCUGAUUUCGAUUCCCGGGUGAAUGAGAAUUUCUUCAAUUAUCUCUUUUUUCAAUCCGGCCUAGAAAAUCGGAUUGAAAAUUGAAUCCGGACGGAUUGGAUUUGUUUGGAUUAAAUUUAACUUUUAAGCUUAUUUUUAAAAUUAAAAUAUAAGUUUAAGUUUAAAAAUUAUAUUUAUAAAUUUAAAUUUUAAUUUAAACUUAAAUUAAAAAUUAAAAUUCAAUCAAGCAUUCAAAUCUAAUUUAUAAAUUUGAAUUUAAAUUUAAAAUCUAAAGUUUUAUUCAAAUUUAUUUAAAAUUUAAAUUAAAUUUAUGGAUUCAAAUUGAAAUUGAAAUUAUAAUUUUAAGUUUAAAUUUGAAUAAAUUGAAAUUUAGUUUUAUAUUUUGAAUUAUCCGUUCAAUUUCAAAUUUUAAUUUUUUUGAAUAAAUAUAUUUAAAAUUUAGAUAUUAUUUUAAAAAAUUUUUAUAUAUUUUUAGUAUUUAAAUUUUAGUUUGAAUUUAAACUAAUAUAUUAUAAAGAUAAAAUUUAAAUAUUAAUUUGAUUACGUUUUUAAUAUCUAUCUGAACCAAAUACCAACAAUGAGAAUGGUUCAUUCCGAUUCUGAUUCAGGUGGCGAACCAAACAGAAUGAGAUAAUGAAUUAUUCCGAUUUCAUUUCCAACUUAUUCUUAUUUCAAUUUCGAUACCGAUUCCGACUUCCAACCAAACACAACCAAAGUGACUACACAGUAAUUUCUAUUUCAACUGUUACCAUUCAAAUCUAAUCAAAUAUUUUAAUCUUAUUAAAAUUUGUAAAUAAUUAUUAUUCUUUUUGACCUUUUAUGUAAAAUAAUU
RNAcentral lists this long non-coding RNA (948 nucleotides) under Ananas comosus (pineapple). Its description in RNAcentral is "long non-coding RNA (ACOM_LNC006399)". The record is from RNAcentral. Lineage: Eukaryota; Viridiplantae; Streptophyta; Magnoliopsida; Poales; Bromeliaceae.